UAAUAAACCAGGAGAAUCAGGAGUGAAGCUGCUCUCUGAUCUACUGAAGGAUCCACACUGUAAACUGGAGACACUACACAUUAAGAAUAAGAAACUCACCAGGUUUGGUGUAGGACAGGAGUCUCUCCUCAGACCUUUUUUCCAGGAUAAAUCAGUUAUGGUGAUGAAGCGUUAGAACACGUCCCACAUUUCCAGCAGUUUGGGAGCUGAAUCAUUCAUAUUCAGAUGUAGAAGAUCCAUAACACUUCACACUUUAACAUAUUUUACAAUCCAAAGUCAAAUCCUUCAGCAUCUACACAGAACACAGAGAUAUCAUCACAUCAUCACACUGAUUACACAAAUACACAUCCAUGUGUUACAGAUGUUUAUAGAUUAUUUUUACCUCUUUAAUUGUAUCUCAGAUUUGUUUCUCCACAGAUGAUUGACUCAAGAUUCAAGACUUCUUUUGUCACAUACACAAUUAUAUAGAGCAUAUAUAGAGUCCAGGUGAUGAAUACACUGUCGAGCACAAAACGCUGGCAAGGUGAGAAUUUUUCCCUAUUGAUUGGCAAGUAUGAGAGGGUUUUUUAGCUCACCUCUGGACCAAGGCUCUAAAAAUUAAUGAUGAAUGUAUACUGUGCUAGCAUAAAAUGAAACAUGCUUCCCUUCGCCACCCACUACUAAAUCCAUUGGGUUUUGCAGCUUUGCAGGGCCAAACCUCUCUCUGUGAAACCUUCACAACGUAUAUAUACAAAAUAGUCUGUUUAAUUUAUAUAAAAAAAAUUGUGUGCUAAAGUUUGUCAUUGCCAUAGUACAUAUGAUAUUUAUAUAACCCUUGUGCAGACCCGGGGUCUAUUUGACUCAUCUGAAAAGUUUAAUGUCAUAACUUGGGUUUCCUUACACAUAUUUGCCUGAAAUUUUGCAGGAUUGUUCCAAAUUAUGAACUUUGCAAGUAAAAUUAAUCUUGUCCUCCCGGGUCAGUUUGACCCAGCCACAUUUAGUCGGGCAAUAGGUCACACUUUUGCCCUUUUCAGUGCAAUGAACAUACAUACAGACACAAAAAUGCACACAUAAAAUGUCCACUAACACACGCACCCAAAACACACACACACAUACUUGUUUUUGCUACAUGGUGGGGACGCCUGACUGGGAGGUGACACUGAUUUCUAAAUACAUCAAGGCCACAAUUUUAAGUCAGAUGUCUCUUUUGGAUUUUUUGGUUCCCAAAAAUCAUCUUUAUUUUCAGAAAUACACAAGUUUAGAAAGCUCAAUUUUUGUCUGUUUUUUCUAUUCCGGUGGUGUUACAUCCUUUUCUAUUUGUUUUCUGUUUUUGGGGAGGUGUUUGUGUUUCUGUGCAGGAUAAACCCUGAUUGGUUCCUGAGGUUUACCUGGUGCCACGCCCUGCUGGUCAGCUGACUCCCUCUGGCCUGUAAAAGCCUCCACCACCACUUCCUGUUUAGCUUCUUUGGCUCAUUUGCUGUAAUCAUUUGCUUUCUGCUAUCUAGUUGUGUGAAAUUGCUCUGUGUAUUUAUAUUCUUAACAUUUCCUGUUAAUACUGACUCCUGCAUGUGCUUUUGACUUUGAUUCUGGAUUGCCCUUGUUUGGACCUGUUUGCUAAAUUGUAUAUAGUAUUUCUGGGGAAGUAGGGAGACCGAUGCCAUUUUGUUUGUACCUUUUUUUGAUUGUGUUUAUUCUUAGGGAGAUAGGGAAGUGAUUUGUGUUUUCUUUUUCUUUUGUUUAGUAGGGAAGUUAAACGUUGCAAUAAAUAGCCAUUUUGUUUGUUAUUUUGGCUUUGUCGGCUCCUGAAGACAUACCCCCGUUUGUACACUUGUUUUCCUAGUAAAAUAUUGUUCUUUCAGUUAA
Tachysurus fulvidraco (yellow catfish) is the source of this 1842-nucleotide long non-coding RNA. RefSeq lists it as uncharacterized. Lineage: Eukaryota; Metazoa; Chordata; Actinopteri; Siluriformes; Bagridae. The transcript is spliced from 2 exons. The record is from RefSeq and is a predicted model, not a curated record.